UUAUCUGUUAGAUGCCGAUCACUUUAAUUUGUUCCGAUACCGGUGCCGGUAGCAAACCUAUAUGAGAAAGAAAGGAAAGGUAGGAGUUUUUUACCUUAUUUGUAUUUUAACCUAACUUUGAAUGAAAAAUAAAAAAUAAAAAUUAAUUUAAAUUUAAAAUAAGGACGUUUUAGUUAUUUAAUAUAUAUGAAUUAAAAAAAAAAGUUGAGGGGUGGCCGUGGCCUUCCCACGUCCCCCGUCAGUU
This 244-nucleotide long non-coding RNA is filed under the name Lathyrus oleraceus (garden pea). Its description in RNAcentral is "Pisum sativum (pea) long non-coding RNA (PSAT_LNC032296)". Lineage: Eukaryota; Viridiplantae; Streptophyta; Magnoliopsida; Fabales; Fabaceae. The record is from RNAcentral.